RNAcentral lists this long non-coding RNA (810 nucleotides) under Malus domestica (apple). RNAcentral describes it as "long non-coding RNA (MDOM_LNC010945)". Lineage: Eukaryota; Viridiplantae; Streptophyta; Magnoliopsida; Rosales; Rosaceae. The record is from RNAcentral.
AAAGCUUCACCUACAAAGCUUCAACACAAAACCUUGCUCCAAAUAAACAAAUUUUGUUCACAAAACUCAAGAUGCCCUUGAACUUGUACAAAAACACUUGGGUAAACAUAAACAUUUUUUGUUUUACACCCAUAAGGGCCCAAAAUUUUCCUUCUUAUUUAUUCACUUAUAUAUGUUCCCAAACAUAUUAUAAUAGAUCCAACAACAAGCCAAAGUCCCAAAUUUCAUAAUGGACAAAAGUACAAGCAAUUCAUCAAUAAUGAAGGUGCUACAAAAAUUGGAAUCUGCCCCAAAAUAGAAAUCCAACCCAAGAGACUUUUUUUUCUCUCUCCCUCUUCCGCCUCCUUUCAUCUAUCAAAUUUCUGCAACCUCUGCUCUUCUCCAAUGGAGCUGAAUUUUGGACACCCUAUAGUUCUUGAGCAUAUGAACAACUUUCAAGAAGGAACCAUUUCUGUUUGAGCGACGGAAAUUAAAGUGUUGAAAGCUCCAAACAUGAUAGUCGGCUUCUUGCAGAUUUCGAAGCUGUUGUGAUGUUUUCGAAGAUCUGGAAAUAUUUAACCGUUAGUUCAUCCUGAAUUUUUGAUAUGUUAUGAAAGAGUCGAUGAGGAACAACUUCAAUGAAGAAAGCAUACCGAUCUGAACAAGAGAAAAUGGAGUUUCGAAACUCACAACAAAUCUGACGGGUUGACAGACAAAUAAUAACCAGUCAUUCAUCAUACCUGAAUUUCUUGAGUUAUACAGCUCUGAGGGAUCUCAAAUUUGGAUAUGUUGUAGUUCACAAGCUGAGGAACAACUUCAAUGAAGAAAGCA